GCAGAAGCCAACAACAAGGACGAGCAGAAGGAGCCCUGCCUGGGCUGUGAUGCUCUGGGACGAGGGCAGCCAAGCCCUGGUGGUGGAGGUUCCCACCCUCUGGCUCUAAUAAGACCCCAAGCCCCAUCCUCUUUAUCAGUGUCACGUGCUGUCCAGGGCGGGUCGCAGAGCCAGUUUUUCUGCUCCCAGAGUGGGACUUGGGGAGGAGACCGCAAUGCUCAAAUAGCCACCGUGCUGCCCACUGCCAGCCAGGUGCUGAGGAGCCCACUCGCCUUUCCUGCUCCAGGUGUGACCACCUUGUGCUCCAGAGCCCUUUGGUUGUGGUGAAAUGUCGACGAUCCUGAAAUGGUUUGGACGGGAAGAUAAGGAGAGAGAGGAGAAGGAAGAGGAGAAGAAGCAGGAGGCAGAGGAGGAAAAGGACGAGGGAGUUGGGGACGGUGACAACAGGAGCAGCAGCAGCACAGAGGAGCCCCAGGACCAGGGCCGUGCUGAGGAUGUUGAGAAGGAAGCCCAGGAGUAGACUUGCUGGGCACGCCGAGGAGGUGGGGAUGCUGGAAGGGGCUGGCCACUGGUAGCCAAAUAAAAGCAUUUGGACCCCAAAGAGAGAUGCUGUUUAUUCAUCUCAGCAAGCUGUCCGUCCUCAAAACAGCUAUGAAAAG
Molecule: long non-coding RNA, 659 nt
Organism: Gallus gallus (chicken)
Lineage: Eukaryota; Metazoa; Chordata; Aves; Galliformes; Phasianidae
Source: Ensembl